GGCAACCCUAACUCGCACAGCGUCCUGAUUUACAGCCCAAUCCAUUACUCAAGAGUAAAUGAAACAAGGUUUACAGGUAAGCGUGCAGAACACCGCCUGCAGCCGAUCUCUUUUAGGCUGCAAGGCUCCAAGCGGCCGUAAAGAAGAAGCGGCCCCAAUCCCGGCGCCCCCAAGAGGCAGAAACAAAACGCUUUGCGCAUUAGCAAUGUACUUUCACCUCGCCACAUCCUCCGCAUCCUACGCGGCUUCCGACGGAAAGGGGCGGGUCUUGACGCGUCACAAUGGGCAUAAAUAGAGCUGGAGAAAGCGGCUCCGGCCUUUUCGCUGCAAGGACGGGGAGAUGGGGAAGGUGAGUGCCGCUUGUCCUUAUUUUGAGAAGGGAUUUACCUGGGGAGGGGAAAGAAACGGGAACCCUGCGUGGUUGGGGGAAGCAAAGACCGAUCUCGGGAAGUCGUCCUGUGCAGGCGAGGACAAAGUCAGGACAUUUCCUCUGGGCCGGUUGCUGCCCUAUGGAGAUCCGCGGGGCUUUACUCCCCGGUAAAAUUGAAAUAAAAAAUUUGCAGCAUCAGCACCACGCGUCACCCGCAGGACCAGGAAAGCAGAACGGAAUAAUGUCCGGUAUAGUGUGGAUUGGUGGGGGGGGGGGAGGUCUUAGCGCACGCAAAAAGUCCGUAAUAAUACGCUAAAUAAUUGGGAAUAACGAUUGCCGUGGAUUUUCUUCUGCUCGCAGGCGCCGAAGUUUUUUGGAACUUCGUUCCCAAAAAAGCACGUGCCAUCACGGCGAAAAAGGGCAGGGAAAGGUUUUGCGUGCUUUUGAGCAGGGCCUAGUGGCUGAAAGUGGGAAGGACGUCCAACGUGCAGGGGGACCUCAAGAAUAUAGGAUACCGAGUUAUACAACUGCGCCCCCGUUAGGCUGAGGUACAGGCCACGUUAGUGUACAUUUUGCAAAAUGAUCCCCCACUUUUAAUUGCUUGCUAGUGCUUAACAUGGUGGCUUAAAAGUAUAUCUCCCCCCACCCCAUGCUCUCAGUUUCCUUUAUAUAGUCAAUGCUCUGCUCAGACUGGCUGAAUAUAGCUGGAGGGAGUUAUGCUCAUAGCAGAGCAUCUACUGCCAAGGGUGGAACUGGUAGUGGACUUUUGACUCCAGAACAAAGGUGGAUGGACUUUUGUGCUUUUGAUGACUCUCUAGGCAGUCCUAAAUCCUCUGAAAUGCGGCUGGUUUUUUUCUUCUCUUUAACUGGAGAAAGCCAUUGAGAAAGGGAACACUCCUGCCUAAUGCUGGCUGCUGUGAUGAUUCUUUUUUGGCGUGUUAGACUGCUGAUGCAGAUGACGAGACACAGAAUCUGAGCCUCCAGCGUAAAAUUGCAGAAGGCAGGUUGUGCUACCCUGCAGGUAGCUUCUUUAUGCUGCCGUACGUGGCCCCAUUAAGAUGCAUUCACAAGUGGGAGACAGAAUAAUGCUCCUCCGCUUUAGUGGCUAUGUUUCCACAAGCAAAUAUAUUCAUUACUGUUUACCAGUUGUAACUGGUAAGAGAAUGGCAAUGGCAGUGACUGGACUUUUAUCUUUGCUCUUGUUUGUUUAUGCUUGCAGUAUUAUGAAGAACCAAUCUUGUUUUAAAAGAAGUUAUGAUCAAAGAUUAAAUCUCCUUUCAGCCAUAAUUAAGAGAAUUACAUUGCUUAUGGAAUGACUGGCUUGGCUGUGAUAAUUAUCUUGCAGCAAUCUGGCUGGCACUAUUUGCUGCACACCUGUGCGCUGUUGCAAAAGGAGAGCAGGCAUGCAAGCUGUGUACAAAAUUGCUCCAUGUUGUCGUUCCUCAGUCUAAACUCUAUGCCUUUUCUUUUUUUGCAGGCUAGUGUCUUCCUUUUCCUCGUGGAAAGAAAACUACAUGAAGGAGCUGUUGCUCUUCGACUAAAGCUGCUGUGGGGAUGCACUAUUUUAAAAUAAAAUAAUAAAAUAAAAAACUAUUGUGUGUCUCUUUUCUCUGUUGACUUUGAAGCACUGCCUUUGAACUGGUGCAUGGCCAAUUCCAUGGCCUCACUGGCUACGCUACAGUGCAAAAGUAAAGGACUUGCUUAUAACUGGUGCUGCUCAGCUGAAAUCUGAGUGGUUCUUUUAAGGGCAAGUUACAUUUUAUCUGAUGAUUAAAUACUACAAUCCAGAACUGCAUCAAGGGUUGCAAAUACCGUAGACAGUUGGCAUUGUAUACCAGAACUUACUGGGUUUCAGCUUGCCUUUGGUUUAUUUGACCUGACUAUUAUACCCCUGGAGUCCACAAUAGUGUCAUUUUUGUUUUAUGUGACACACACACCCCAACAAAGAAUGUUUCUGGGAAUGUUAGAGGCUUCCAUUUGGGCAGAGGCUUAGGACAAUACAUGUGCAGACUAACAACACAUAAUUUGCGUAAUAAAUUGUAGAACUUUGAAUCCUCCCCAUGCCUGGAAAGUGUAAUGAACUAAGGCGUUCAUGACAAAACAAUGGUUCUCAUACCAUCCCUUUCAGGAGCCUACAGCAAAGGUUUAAAAAUUAACUACAUUUCCUGAAAGAUGCAAUAAUACUUUUAAAAAUCCUCAUUAAAAACUUGGGGCAUUAAGUAAAUGCCAGUCUGGAUUAUACAGGGCACAGGUAGUCCUGAUAUACAGUCAUGCCUUGGAAGUCGAACAGAAUCCGUUCUGGAAGUCUGACUUCCAAAAUGUUUGAACGGCAAAUCACGGCUUCUGAUUGGCUGCAGGAAGCUCCUGCAGCCUAUCGGAAGCCCCGUCAGACAUUCAGGUUCCAAAAGAACAUUCACAAACCAGAACAAUUGUCUCCAGGUUUGUGGCAUUUGGGAGCCAAAACGGCCAAGAUCCAGGGCUUUUGGGAUCCAAGGUGCGAAUGUAGUGGCGUCACUCUUAGUUUGGUAUUGGUUAUUGAAAGUGUGUGCUAUAUGAAUCAUAAUUAAGCUAUGAAAUCUGGCAUUGUCUAAAUGUCACUUUUAAAAGGGUAAGAUACAGCCUAUAAGGGCCCCCUGUGCCUAAAGCUAGCUGAAAGUACCCAAAGGCCAAGUUUGCAAACUGGAUUUUUACUAGAUCUGCCAACCACACAAAUGGAGGCUGUUCUUUGUAUAGUGCAGUGAUGGCGGACCUUUUAGAGACCAAAGGACCCAAACUGCAACCCCAAAGUGCCAACACAGGAAUUUACCGUAACCUGUAUAUUUCAUUUUUUCUGUGUGCUUCACAUUUCUUUAUGACUGCUGUUGUAAUAAAUAAUCCUUCAUGAAAGUUACUGCAUUACAAUCUUUAUUAAAUUAUAUUGCCAUUGAUACAUAAUUUUAUGGUAUAACUCUUUCUCUAAAAAAAUGUUUAGGGGUGCUCUCAUUUUGACUCCAGAAAAUCACUGCGGGCGGGGGAAAUAAAAAAAAUAGUUAAAAUUGGGGAAAAUAAAUACAGUUGUACCUCAGUUUUCGAACAGCUUAGUUCUUGAAUUACUUGGAACAUGAACACUUCAAACCAGGAAAUGAGUGUUUUGGUUUUGGAACUUUCCAGAAGCCAGAAGCGGAGUAUAACUUACAUUUUCCUAGUGAGGAAAGGUGGGCCGGGCGACAAGUGAGCAGGCACCUGCUGCCUUCCAGGGCUGGGUCCCUCUGCCUCCACCACAACUGCAACCACCCCCUCCUCCAGCUCUGUUGCUGCUUGCACGGGAACAGGAGCUGGAUUGGGGCUGCUCAGCUGGGGAGGUGCAGGCUCCGUGGCUGCACUCCCCUCAAGGGAGAGGUUUAAAGGAGCCCCCACCUCUGCAUC
Molecule: non-coding RNA, 3775 nt
Organism: Podarcis lilfordi (Lilford's wall lizard)
Lineage: Eukaryota; Metazoa; Chordata; Lepidosauria; Squamata; Lacertidae
Source: the annotation of a GenBank genome assembly